CUUUUCUGUCAUAAUGGCAAGUCAUCUCUGGGUAGCAGCACAUGGGAUCUUUAACAUUCAACAUGUAUCCAGAUACUGCAGAGUAUGGUGAGAGAUGCCAAAAGCAACUGCAAUUCAGAAUUAUCACGAUCUCACAUAAGGCUACGUGAAAAAGACCAACAGCAGGCAAACAAAGCCAAGUGCUUCCUGAGCUCUGCCAAGAAUUAAACACAGAGCUCCAUCAGCAGGAGGGCUUUCUUUGGUAACAAAAUCUGUCUCAGUCUGUACCUAAAAGGUUUUCUAAGGCUGCAGAUUAAAGUUUAAAGACCACUAGAAAAACCUCAAGACAGGGAGAGCUCCUAUAGGAAAAAUGCUGUAUAGAAUUUCCAGAAAUAAAAAGGUAAUAAUUACUCCUAGUAACAACAGUAA
Molecule: long non-coding RNA, 408 nt
Organism: Pseudopipra pipra
Lineage: Eukaryota; Metazoa; Chordata; Aves; Passeriformes; Pipridae
Exons: 2
Source: RefSeq, a predicted model, not a curated record